GACGAACGCUGGCGGCGCGCUUAACACAUGCAAGUCGAACGGAAAGGCCCUGCUUUUGUGGGGUGCUCGAGUGGCGAACGGGUGAGUAACACGUGAGUAACCUGCCCUUGACUUUGGGAUAACUUCAGGAAACUGGGGCUAAUACCGGAUAGGAGCUCCUGCUGCAUGGUGGGGGUUGGAAAGUUUCGGCGGUUGGGGAUGGACUCGCGGCUUAUCAGCUUGUUGGUGGGGUAGUGGCUUACCAAGGCUUUGACGGGUAGCCGGCCUGAGAGGGUGACCGGCCACAUUGGGACUGAGAUACGGCCCAGACUCCUACGGGAGGCAGCAGUGGGGAAUAUUGCACAAUGGGCGGAAGACUGAUGCAGCAACGCCGCGUGCGGGAUGACGGCCUUCGGGUUGUAAACCGCUUUCGCCUGUGACGAAGCGUGAGUGACGGUAAUGGGUAAAGAAGCACCGGCUAACUACGUG
RNAcentral lists this ribosomal RNA (468 nucleotides) under uncultured bacterium. RNAcentral's name for it is "partial 16S ribosomal RNA". It matches the Rfam family "Bacterial small subunit ribosomal RNA", at positions 28 to 507 of the family's 1533-position model. The record is from RNAcentral.